RNAcentral lists this long non-coding RNA (312 nucleotides) under Panax ginseng (ginseng). RNAcentral's name for it is "long non-coding RNA (PGIN_LNC000466)". The record is from RNAcentral. Lineage: Eukaryota; Viridiplantae; Streptophyta; Magnoliopsida; Apiales; Araliaceae.
GGUGAUAUUUUUAUAAUGAAUGUGGGAUAUAUGAGUAUAUGAGGAGGUAGAGUAUUUUGUGGCAUUAAAUGUUUAACACAUGUUUUGUGUGUCGGUGGACACAAUUCUUGACCGAAAAUUUAUUAUAGACUAUAAAAUCGCCCGUUUAUGGAUUUUGGUCAAUUUCUGUUUGGAAUUUGGAAAAACUUUCUUCUGCAAAGUUGUAGAGAAUGGAAUUUCCCAUGGAAAGUCGCGAGUUUUGAAUUUUUCUGAUAACCGAGCUAUUUUCUACGAAUUGUUGAAGUUUCGGAAAAUAAAAUGAUUUUUAUUAAU